UACGUAGGGUGCAGGCGUUAAUCGGAAUUACUAGGCGUAAAGCGUGCGCAGGCGGUUUGCUAAGACAGGUGUGAAAUCCCCGGGCUUAACCUGGGAACUGCGCUUGUUACUGGCAGGCUUGAGUGUGGCAGAGGGGGGUGGAAUUCCACGUGUAGCAGUGAAAUGCGUAGAGAUGUGGAGGAACACCGAUGGCGAAGGCAGCCCCCUGGGCUAACACUGACGCUCAUGCACGAAAGCGUGGGGAGCAAACAGG
This 253-nucleotide ribosomal RNA is filed under the name uncultured bacterium. Its description in RNAcentral is "partial 16S ribosomal RNA". It matches the Rfam family "Bacterial small subunit ribosomal RNA", at positions 524 to 776 of the family's 1533-position model. The record is from RNAcentral.